This 743-nucleotide ribosomal RNA is filed under the name uncultured Gemmatimonadota bacterium. RNAcentral's name for it is "bacterial SSU rRNA". It matches the Rfam family "Bacterial small subunit ribosomal RNA", at positions 58 to 804 of the family's 1533-position model. The record is from RNAcentral. Lineage: Bacteria; Pseudomonadati; Gemmatimonadota.
CAAGUCGAGGGGGGUGGGGCAACCCACUCACCGGCGAACGGGUGCGUAACACGUGAGCGACCCGCCCUACCANAGGGGGAUAGCCGGCCCAACGGCCGGGUAAGACCGCAUACGCUCCUUGGGCUACAUGGCCUGGGGAGGAAAGCUCGAAAGGGCGCUGGAGGAGGGGCUCGCGGCCUAUCAGCUAGUUGGCGAGGUAACGGCUCACCAAGGCGACGACGGGUAGCUGGUCUGAGAGGAUGGCCAGCCACAUUGGGACUGAGAGACGGCCCAGACUCCUACGGGAGGCAGCAGUGGGGAAUAUUGCGCAAUGGCCGAGAGGCUGACGCAGCGACGCCGCGUGUGGGAUGAAGCUCUUCGGGGUGUAAACCACUGUUGCCCGGGACGAAACUCCUGCUUUGGCGGGAUUGACGGUACCGGGUGAGGAAGCACCGGCUAACUCCGUGCCAGCAGCCGCGGUAAUACGGAGGGUGCGAGCGUUGUCCGGAAUCACUGGGCGUAAAGGGCGCGUAGGUGGCUCGUGAAGCGUGCGGUGAAAGUCCGAGGCUCAACCUCGGAUCGGCCGUGCGGACUCGCGGGCUCGAGCGUUGUAGAGGCGGGUGGAAUUCCGGGUGUAGCGGUGGAAUGCGUAGAGAUCCGGAAGAACACCGGUGGCGAAGGCGGCCCGCUGGGCAACUGCUGACACUGAUGCGCGACAGCGUGGGGAGCAAACAGGAUUAGAUACCCUGGUAGUCCACGCCGUA